Molecule: ribosomal RNA, 508 nt
Filed under: Cephalothrix sp. Palaeo_CB158_MCB005_18_01
Lineage: Eukaryota; Metazoa; Nemertea; Palaeonemertea; Archinemertea; Cephalotrichidae
Description: partial 16S ribosomal RNA
Rfam family: Bacterial large subunit ribosomal RNA
Source: RNAcentral
AGCCUUUUGAAUGUCUAAAAGGUAGUUUCUGCCCGGUGUAAAAAUUAACGGCCGCGGUAUCCUGACCGUGCAAAGGUAGCAUAAUCAUUUGUCUAAUAAUUGUAGACUAGAAUGAAAGAAUUUACAAAGAGAAAACUGUCUCUAUUUAGUUUAUAAAAUUUAUUGAUAAAGUGAAGAAACUUUGAUAAAAAAAUUAGACGAGAAGACCCUAUUGAGCUUUACUAUUUUUAAUUAUUUAUGUUGAUUUACAAUCUUAUGUGUGAAUAAUUGUUCGUAGUUGGAUUGGGGCGAUUAAGGAAAUAUUAAUUUACUUCCUUUUUUCUUUUUACUUUUAUGUUAUUUUUGAUCCAUUUUUAAUGAUUAAAAUAACAAGUUACCAUAGGGAUAACAGCGUAAUUCUUUUUUAGAGUUCUAAUCGAAAAAAGGGUUUGCGACCUCGAUGUUGGACUAAGAUGUCCUGAAGGUGUAGCAGCUUUCGAGGGUAGGUCUGUUCGACCUUUAAAAUCUU